RNAcentral lists this ribosomal RNA (114 nucleotides) under Paramormyrops kingsleyae. The record is from RNAcentral. Lineage: Eukaryota; Metazoa; Chordata; Actinopteri; Osteoglossiformes; Mormyridae.
ACUGGCAGCCAUAGCACCUGCAGUUCAGACUGGAUAAUCCACCUGAAGCUAAGCAGGGUUGGGCCUGGUCAGAACUUGGAUGGGAGACUGGAAGAGGUGUUGGUGUGGCCAGUG